Molecule: ribosomal RNA, 497 nt
Filed under: uncultured bacterium
Lineage: Bacteria
Description: partial 16S ribosomal RNA
Rfam family: Bacterial small subunit ribosomal RNA
Source: RNAcentral
GAUGAACGCUGGCGGCGUGCCUAAUACAUGCAAGUCGAGCGAACAGACGAGGAGCUUGCUCCUCUGACGUUAGCGGCGGACGGGUGAGUAACACGUGGAUAACCUACCUAUAAGACUGGGAUCACUUCGGGAAACCGGAGCUAAUACCGGAUAAUCUAUUGAACCGCAUGGUUCAAUAGUGAAGGACGGUUUUGCUGUCACUUAUAGAUGUAUCCGCGCCGCAUUAGCUAGUUGGUAAGGUAACGGGUUACCAAGGCAACGAUGCGUAGCCGAACUGAAAGCGUGAUAGGCCACACAGGAACUGAGACACGGUCCAGACUACUAAGGGAGGCAGCAGUCGGGUACAUUCCGCAAUAGGCGAGAGCUUGACGGAGGGAAGACGCGUGAGAGAUGAAGAUCUUCGGAUCGUAAUAAUCUGCUAUUAGGGGAGAACAAAUGUCUAAGUAAACACGGACGUCGUGACGGUAACUAAUAAGAAAGCCACGGCUAACUACGUG